AUACGGAGGGUGCAAGCGUUGUUCGGAAUUACUGGGCGUAAAGAGCGUGUAGGCGGCUAAGUAAGUCAAAUGUGAAAUCCCUCGGCUUAACCGAGGACGUGCAUCUGAUACUGCUUAGCUUGAGUCUCGGAGAGGGGUGUGGAAUUCCCGGUGUAGAGGUGAAAUUCGUAGAUAUCGGGAGGAACAUCAGUGGCGAAGGCGACACCCUGGACGAUGACUGACGCUGAGACGCGAAAGCGUGGGUAGCAAACAGGAUUAGAUACCCUGGUAGUCCACGCCGUAAACGGUGUCAACUAGGUGUUGUGGGUAUUGACCCCCGCAGUGCCGAAGCUAACGCAUUAAGUUGACCGCCUGGGGAGUACGGCCGCAAGGUUAAA
RNAcentral lists this ribosomal RNA (377 nucleotides) under uncultured bacterium. Its description in RNAcentral is "bacterial SSU rRNA". It matches the Rfam family "Bacterial small subunit ribosomal RNA", at positions 523 to 898 of the family's 1533-position model. The record is from RNAcentral.